This 274-nucleotide ribosomal RNA is filed under the name uncultured bacterium. Its description in RNAcentral is "partial 16S ribosomal RNA". It matches the Rfam family "Bacterial small subunit ribosomal RNA", at positions 523 to 796 of the family's 1533-position model. The record is from RNAcentral.
AUACGGAGGGUGCAAGCGUUACUCGGAAUCACUGGGCGUAAAGCGCGCGCAGGCGGUCUUUUAAGUUGGAUGUGAAAGCCUACGGCUCAACCGUAGAACUGCAUCCAAAACUAUUAGACUAGAGUGUGGGAGAGGAAGAUGGAAUUAGUUGUGUAGGGGUAAAAUCCGUAGAGAUAACUAGGAAUACCAAAAGCGAAGGCGAUCUUCUGGAACACUACUGACGCUGAGGCGCGAAAGCGUGGGGAGCAAACAGGAUUAGAAACCCUAGUAGUCC